This 199-nucleotide long non-coding RNA is filed under the name Lupinus angustifolius (narrow-leaved blue lupine). RNAcentral describes it as "long non-coding RNA (LANG_LNC001489)". Lineage: Eukaryota; Viridiplantae; Streptophyta; Magnoliopsida; Fabales; Fabaceae. The record is from RNAcentral.
ACAUAUUGAUCCUCAGUUCCAAACGAACCAUUAUUAAAGAUGUAAUUUUCCUUAUCUCUAAGCUUCAAAUCGUGACCAACCAAAAACGGACAAGAAGCCAUAGCAAAAAACAGAGAAAAAGGAGAAGAUAAAAGAGGAGUUGUCAUAGAGAAAGACAAGUGAAGAAGAAGAAGGACGAAGAAGGAAGAAGAUGAAGGCC